UACGUAGGGGGCAAGCGUUGUCCGGAAUCAUUGGGCGUAAAGAGCGUGUAGGCGGUCCGGUAAGUCGGUUGUGAAAGUCGGGGGCUCAACCCUCGGAUGCCGGUGGAUACUGUCGGGCUUGAGUACGGAAGAGGCGAGUGGAAUUCCUGGUGUAGCGGUGAAAUGCGCAGAUAUCAGGAGGAACACCAAUUGCGAAGGCAGCUCGCUGGGACGUUACUGACGCUGAGACGCGAAAGCGUGGGGAGCAAACAGG
RNAcentral lists this ribosomal RNA (253 nucleotides) under uncultured bacterium. RNAcentral describes it as "partial 16S ribosomal RNA". It matches the Rfam family "Bacterial small subunit ribosomal RNA", at positions 524 to 776 of the family's 1533-position model. The record is from RNAcentral.